Molecule: ribosomal RNA, 1548 nt
Filed under: Enterococcus faecium
Lineage: Bacteria; Bacillati; Bacillota; Bacilli; Lactobacillales; Enterococcaceae
Description: bacterial SSU rRNA
Rfam family: Bacterial small subunit ribosomal RNA
Source: RNAcentral
AGAGUUUGAUCCUGGCUCAGGAUGAACGCUGGCGGCGUGCCUAAUACAUGCAAGUCGAACGCUUCUUUUUCCACCGGAGCUUGCUCCACCGGAAAAAGAGGAGUGGCGAACGGGUGAGUAACACGUGGGUAACCUGCCCAUCAGAAGGGGAUAACACUUGGAAACAGGUGCUAAUACCGUAUAACAAUCGAAACCGCAUGGUUUUGAUUUGAAAGGCGCUUUCGGGUGUCGCUGAUGGAUGGACCCGCGGUGCAUUAGCUAGUUGGUGAGGUAACGGCUCACCAAGGCCACGAUGCAUAGCCGACCUGAGAGGGUGAUCGGCCACAUUGGGACUGAGACACGGCCCAAACUCCUACGGGAGGCAGCAGUAGGGAAUCUUCGGCAAUGGACGAAAGUCUGACCGAGCAACGCCGCGUGAGUGAAGAAGGUUUUCGGAUCGUAAAACUCUGUUGUUAGAGAAGAACAAGGAUGAGAGUAACUGUUCAUCCCUUGACGGUAUCUAACCAGAAAGCCACGGCUAACUACGUGCCAGCAGCCGCGGUAAUACGUAGGUGGCAAGCGUUGUCCGGAUUUAUUGGGCGUAAAGCGAGCGCAGGCGGUUUCUUAAGUCUGAUGUGAAAGCCCCCGGCUCAACCGGGGAGGGUCAUUGGAAACUGGGAGACUUGAGUGCAGAAGAGGAGAGUGGAAUUCCAUGUGUAGCGGUGAAAUGCGUAGAUAUAUGGAGGAACACCAGUGGCGAAGGCGGCUCUCUGGUCUGUAACUGACGCUGAGGCUCGAAAGCGUGGGGAGCAAACAGGAUUAGAUACCCUGGUAGUCCACGCCGUAAACGAUGAGUGCUAAGUGUUGGAGGGUUUCCGCCCUUCAGUGCUGCAGCUAACGCAUUAAGCACUCCGCCUGGGGAGUACGACCGCAAGGUUGAAACUCAAAGGAAUUGACGGGGGCCCGCACAAGCGGUGGAGCAUGUGGUUUAAUUCGAAGCAACGCGAAGAACCUUACCAGGUCUUGACAUCCUUUGACCACUCUAGAGAUAGAGCUUCCCCUUCGGGGGCAAAGUGACAGGUGGUGCAUGGUUGUCGUCAGCUCGUGUCGUGAGAUGUUGGGUUAAGUCCCGCAACGAGCGCAACCCUUAUUGUUAGUUGCCAUCAUUCAGUUGGGCACUCUAGCAAGACUGCCGGUGACAAACCGGAGGAAGGUGGGGAUGACGUCAAAUCAUCAUGCCCCUUAUGACCUGGGCUACACACGUGCUACAAUGGGAAGUACAACGAGUCGCGAAGUCGCGAGGCUAAGCUAAUCUCUUAAAGCUUCUCUCAGUUCGGAUUGCAGGCUGCAACUCGCCUGCAUGAAGCCGGAAUCGCUAGUAAUCGCGGAUCAGCACGCCGCGGUGAAUACGUUCCCGGGCCUUGUACACACCGCCCGUCACACCACGAGAGUUUGUAACACCCGAAGUCGGUGAGGUAACCUUUUGGAGCCAGCCGCCUAAGGUGGGAUAGAUGAUUGGGGUGAAGUCGUAACAAGGUAGCCGUAUCGGAAGGUGCGGCUGGAUCACCU